UGGCAGUUAAAGGACAGCAGCAGCAGUCCGACCGCCUGGCUCCAUUUUCCCAGUGCCACCGACUGGGAGUUAAGCUGACUAACGUUUUGAAAGCCCGGCCCAUUUCGUUCUCAGUGGGACAGCAGG
Ictidomys tridecemlineatus (thirteen-lined ground squirrel) is the source of this 126-nucleotide unclassified non-coding RNA. The record is from Ensembl. Lineage: Eukaryota; Metazoa; Chordata; Mammalia; Rodentia; Sciuridae.